RNAcentral lists this ribosomal RNA (328 nucleotides) under uncultured eukaryote. RNAcentral describes it as "partial 18S ribosomal RNA". It matches the Rfam family "Eukaryotic small subunit ribosomal RNA", at positions 1470 to 1796 of the family's 1831-position model. The record is from RNAcentral.
CCCUUAGAUGUUCUGGGCUGCACGCGCGCUACACUGAUGCGCUCAACGAGUUUUAACCUUGCCUGGAAAGGUUGGGUAAUCUUUUUAAAACGCAUCGUGAUGGGGAUAGAUUAUUGCAAUUAUUAAUCUUCAACGAGGAAUUCCUAGUAAGCGCGAGUCAUCAGCUCGUGCUGAUUACGUCCCUGCCCUUUGUACACACCGCCCGUCGCUACUACCGAUUGAAUGGCUCAGUGAGGCCUUCGGACUGGCCCAGGGAGGUUGGCAACGACCACCCAGGGCCGGAAAGUUGGUCAAACUUGGUCAUUUAGAGGAAGUAAAAGUCGUAACA